This 1438-nucleotide ribosomal RNA is filed under the name uncultured organism. RNAcentral describes it as "SSU rRNA". It matches the Rfam family "Bacterial small subunit ribosomal RNA". The record is from RNAcentral.
UUCGACAGGCUUAACACAUGCAAGUCGAGGGGCAGCACAGGUAGUAAUACCGGGUGGCGACCGGCGCACGGGUGAGUAACGCGUAUGCAACUUACCUAUCAGAGGGGGAUAACCCGGCGAAAGUCGGACUAAUACCGCAUGAAGCAGGGGCCCCGCAUGGGGAUAUUUGCUAAAGAUUCAUCGCUGAUAGAUAGGCAUGCGUUCCAUUAGGCAGUUGGCGGGGUAACGGCCCACCAAACCGACGAUGGAUAGGGGUUCUGAGAGGAAGGUCCCCCACAUUGGUACUGAGACACGGACCAAACUCCUACGGGAGGCAGCAGUGAGGAAUAUUGGUCAAUGGCCGAGAGGCUGAACCAGCCAAGUCGCGUGAGGGAUGAAGGUUCUAUGGAUCGUAAACCUCUUUUAUAAGGGAAUAAAGUGCGGGACGUGUCCCGUUUUGUAUGUACCUUAUGAAUAAGGAUCGGCUAACUCCGUGCCAGCAGCCGCGGUAAUACGGAGGAUCCGAGCGUUAUCCGGAUUUAUUGGGUUUAAAGGGUGCGUAGGCGGCCUUUUAAGUCAGCGGUGAAAGUCUGUGGCUCAACCAUAGAAUUGCCGUUGAAACUGGGGGGCUUGAGUAUGUUUGAGGCAGGCGGAAUGCGUGGUGUAGCGGUGAAAUGCAUAGAUAUCACGCAGAACCCCGAUUGCGAAGGCAGCCUGCCAAGCCAUGACUGACGCUGAUGCACGAAAGCGUGGGGAUCAAACAGGAUUAGAUACCCUGGUAGUCCACGCAGUAAACGAUGAUCACUAGCUGUUUGCGAUACACUGUAAGCGGCACAGCGAAAGCGUUAAGUGAUCCACCUGGGGAGUACGCCGGCAACGGUGAAACUCAAAGGAAUUGACGGGGGCCCGCACAAGCGGAGGAACAUGUGGUUUAAUUCGAUGAUACGCAAGGAACCUUACCCGGGUUUGAACGCAUUCGGACCGAGGUGGAAACACCUUUUCUAGCAAUAGCCGUUUGCGAGGUGCUGCAUGGUUGUCGUCAGCUCGUGCCGUGAGGUGUCGGCUUAAGUGCCAUAACGAGCGCAACCCUUGCCACUAGUUACUAACAGGUGAUGCUGAGGACUCUGGUGGGACUGCCAGCGUAAGCUGCGAGGAAGGCGGGGAUGACGUCAAAUCAGCACGGCCCUUACAUCCGGGGCGACACACGUGUUACAAUGGCGUGGACAAAGGGAGGCCACCUGGCGACAGGGAGCGAAUCCCCAAACCACGUCUCAGUUCGGAUCGGAGUCUGCAACCCGACUCCGUGAAGCUGGAUUCGCUAGUAAUCGCGCAUCAGCCAUGGCGCGGUGAAUACGUUCCCGGGCCUUGUACACACCGCCCGUCAAGCCAUGGGAGCCGGGGGUACCUGAAGUACGUAACCGCAAGGAGCGUCCUAGGGUAAAACUGGUGACUGGGGCUA